RNAcentral lists this ribosomal RNA (497 nucleotides) under uncultured bacterium. Its description in RNAcentral is "bacterial SSU rRNA". It matches the Rfam family "Bacterial small subunit ribosomal RNA", at positions 372 to 883 of the family's 1533-position model. The record is from RNAcentral.
UGGGGGAAACCCUGAUGCAGCAACGCCGCGUGAAGGAUGAAGGUCUUCGGAUUGUAAACUUCUUUGAUGAGGGACGAAUAAAUGACGGUACCUCAAAAACAAGCCACGGCUAACUACGUGCCAGCAGCCGCGGUAAUACGUAGGUGGCAAGCGUUGUCCGGAAUUAUUGGGCGCAAAGGGCGCGUAGGCGGUUUCUUAAGUCAGAUGUGAAAUCCCGGGGCUUAACUUCGGGCGUGCAUUUGAAACUGGGGAACUAGAGUGCAGGAGAGGUAAGUGGAAUUCCUAGUGUAGCGGUGAAAUGCGUAGAUAUUAGGAGGAACACCAGUGGCGAAGGCGACUUACUGGACUGUAACUGACGCUGAGGCGCGAAAGCGUGGGGAGCAAACAGGAUUAGAUACCCUGGUAGUCCACGCUGUAAACGAUGGAUACUAGGUGUGGGAGGUAUCGACCCCUUCCGUGCCGCAGUAAACGCAAUAAGUAUCCCGCCUGGGGAGUAC